This 468-nucleotide ribosomal RNA is filed under the name uncultured bacterium. RNAcentral's name for it is "partial 16S ribosomal RNA". It matches the Rfam family "Bacterial small subunit ribosomal RNA", at positions 28 to 507 of the family's 1533-position model. The record is from RNAcentral.
GACGAACGCUGGCGGCGUGCUUAACACAUGCAAGUCGAACGGAAAGGCCCUGCUUUUGUGGGGUGCUCGAGUGGCGAACGGGUGAGUAACACGUGAGUAACCUGCCCUUGACUUUGGGAUAACUUCAGGAAACUGGGGCUAAUACCGGAUAGGAGCUCCUGCUGCAUGGGGGGGGUUGGAAAGUGUCGGCGGUUGGGGAUGGACUCGGGGCUUAUCAGCUUGUUGGUGGGGUAGUGGCUUACCAAGGCUUCGACGGGUAGCCGGCCUGGGAGGGUGACCGGCCACAUGGGGACUGAGAUACGGCGCAGACUCGUAUGGGAGGCAGCAGUGGAGAGUAUUGCACAAUGGGCGGAAGCCUGAUACAGCAACGCCGCGUGCGGGAUGACGGCCUUCGGGGGAUAAACCGCUUUCGCCUGUGACGAAGCGUUAGUGACGGUAAUGGGUAAAGAAGCACCGGCUAACUACGUG